Molecule: ribosomal RNA, 253 nt
Filed under: uncultured bacterium
Lineage: Bacteria
Description: partial 16S ribosomal RNA
Rfam family: Bacterial small subunit ribosomal RNA
Source: RNAcentral
UACGGGGGGGGCAAGCGUUGUUCGGAAUUACUGGGCGUAAAGGGCUUGUAGGCGGCCGACUAAGUCGGAUGUGAAAUCCCCAGGCUCAACUUGGGAACUGCAUCCGAUACUGGUUGGCUUGAAUCCGGGAGAGGGAUGCAGAAUUCCAGGUGUAGCGGUGAAAUGCGUAGAUAUCUGGAGGAACACCGGUGGUGUAGACGGCUUUCUGGACCGUAACUGACGCUGAGACACGAAAGCGUGGGUAGCAAACAGG